RNAcentral lists this ribosomal RNA (117 nucleotides) under Callithrix jacchus (white-tufted-ear marmoset). Lineage: Eukaryota; Metazoa; Chordata; Mammalia; Primates; Cebidae. The record is from RNAcentral.
GUCUACAGCCAACCACCCUGAACAUGCCUGAUCGCAUCUGAUAUCGGAAGCUAAGCAAGAUUGGGCCUGGUUAGUACUUGGAUUGGAGACAAAAUGCUGAGAUUACAGGGGUGAGCC